AUGAGCUAUGCGAGUAACAAAAAAUCUCCAAGCAAACAAGUUGGCAUCUAUAUGGAUGUGAGCGACAAGAGGAAAAGAAACCGGUUGGAGCGGUAUGAUCGCAAGGCUCGUAUGGGUGUUAACCUCAAAGACGGUAGCUGGGUUGUGACAGUUUUUGAGGCCGAUCACACACACCAGCUGAUGUUGCAAAGGGGGCGUCGGAGAUUUUUCCGCUCUCACAGAAAGAUCCCAGAUGCAGACAUGCAAUACAUCACUUCACUACACUAUCGCAACAUAUCAACGGCUAAUAUGAUGGGCUUGCUUGGAGAUGCACGGUGUUGUGAUCCGAGGAGUUUGCCGUAUGUGAAGUCUGAUGUGACAAAUGCAAGAGCAAAGCUGCGAAGGGGCCUGUCAGAGCGUGACUUGGAGCUAACAAUCGAGUACUUUGAGAGAAGACAAGUGGAGAAUCCCAACUUCUUUUUCUCGAAGCUACAAGAAGAUGGAGCUGUUAGGGCGCUUUUCUGGGUUGAUGGGAGAACAAGGGCCCUGUAUCCAAAGUACAAAGAUUGUGUGUUUUUCGACACCACAUUCUGCACAAAUCGCUAUAACUUGCCCUUUGCUCCGAUUAUUGGCAUUAACAACCACACACACACUGUUUGCUUGGGGUGUGCUUUGUUGCCUGAUGAGACCAUUGAAACUUUCAAGUGGGUCUUCUAG
This 696-nucleotide ribosomal RNA is filed under the name Triticum aestivum (bread wheat). RNAcentral's name for it is "partial small subunit ribosomal RNA". The record is from RNAcentral. Lineage: Eukaryota; Viridiplantae; Streptophyta; Magnoliopsida; Poales; Poaceae.